UAAAAGAUAAGCUAAUAUAAGCUAAAGGGUUCAUACCCCUUUUAUGACAUGUUCUCUUUUUA
RNAcentral lists this transfer RNA (62 nucleotides) under Crangonyx forbesi. RNAcentral describes it as "tRNA-Met". The record is from RNAcentral. Lineage: Eukaryota; Metazoa; Arthropoda; Malacostraca; Amphipoda; Crangonyctidae.